UGUUCUGUUCUGUAUGUUCUGCGCACUUUCGCUUUCUCCCGGAAGCUGAGCCGUUGUUUUUACGCGCUUAAUUUUCAGGAAACGGUAAAUGUUUACUUUCCAGUACGUCUUGAACUAUUCAGCCCACGGUGCGCUGUGACGGAGACCCUGCAAACUUCGUCUUAUACCGCUGACGGCUGUACACAAAAGAGCUCACCUUAAACAAGCUGCAGGUGCAACAGGAAGUGAAGACUUUGUCAAAGAACAUCUGCAGAUGUUCUCCUGCUGUUUUAGAUCAUACAGCUCAUCUCCUUGCAAAUCUCAGUGAGACGGUCUUCAGUUCAGGAAAGUCUUCAUUC
Long non-coding RNA from Oreochromis aureus, 338 nucleotides. The record is from Ensembl. Lineage: Eukaryota; Metazoa; Chordata; Actinopteri; Cichliformes; Cichlidae.